Long non-coding RNA from Gossypium raimondii (Peruvian cotton), 465 nucleotides. RefSeq lists it as uncharacterized. The record is from RefSeq and is a predicted model, not a curated record. NCBI's taxonomy places the organism in Eukaryota, Viridiplantae, Streptophyta, Magnoliopsida, Malvales, Malvaceae. The transcript is spliced from 2 exons.
AAAGUUAAAAUCCAUUUCAAACUCUAGUUAAAACCCUAUUCCCUUUUGCGGUAACAGCAGCCUCAAGAACUGCUCCAUCCUCUCCUCUAUUUUUCAAGCUGAACUCCCCCUUCCAACUUCGAUUUAGACGAAGAGAAUUAAAGAUGUCGACGGCGCGCCUCUUUUGGAUGAACAUGCAUGGUGGAUUCGAGGAAUCGCUGAACGUGGGGUGAUGGGGCCGUUGCUGCAGAUGGAGAACGUGCGAGCGGCGCGAUCUGCAGUUUCUGCUUCCAUUGCUGCUGAAAACAUGUUGUGGGCUAGGGUUAACUUUGGGCCAUUUGGGCCAAAUGUAUUUGGUUUAUUGGGCUGUGCAAAUGGUUUUGGGCCCCGGGCAACAAUUGGGUAUCACAAACUUUAAUAUAAACAUAUAAAUUAAAUAAACACAAUUCAACAUGGCAUCAAAUAAAAUAGUAAGUUAUAUAUGAA